Long non-coding RNA from Marmota monax (woodchuck), 7422 nucleotides. RefSeq lists it as uncharacterized. NCBI's taxonomy places the organism in Eukaryota, Metazoa, Chordata, Mammalia, Rodentia, Sciuridae. The record is from RefSeq and is a predicted model, not a curated record. The transcript is spliced from 3 exons.
CAACCAACCAUUGUUUUGGGGUAUUAGUUAAAAAUAUACUCAGAGUGAGGUAAGUUAUUUUUUAGAAAAUAUUUAUUCUGCCAUCCCCAUCCUCUACCUGAGAUAGUUUCCUAUCAUCUUUGGCUUAGUUUCAUCAUGUUCUGGCUUGGUGGUAAGUGGAAUGAUUUGCACUGGCCUUUGGGUUGUUAGGAGACAGGACAGCACAGAGACUUGAAAUGUACUGUGGGAUUCAGAAUAUCUAACUAGGUUUUUGCACUCCUGCUUUUUCCCUUCAGAAAGAAAAAAAAAAUGCCACAGGAUGAGUCUUUUCCAUGGAGAUGAAGCAAGAAAUAAAUACUUCCUGGAUAAGAAUCAGGGUCUCACUGAGUUGCUUAGAGCCUCACCAAACUGCUGAGGCUGGCUUUGAACUUUUGAUACUUCUGUCUCAGCCUCCAGAGAGAGCCACUGGAAUUAUAGAUGGGAUUCGAUCCUCUAUUCCUCCAGCCUUGUUAUUGCCUUUUUUUCCAAUAGAAUGGAGCAGAAUCCACAGUGUGGCAGUUUCAAGCCCAGGGUUUCAGAGGUAUUGGGCUCUUCUGCUAUUUCCCUCAGAAUUGUGCUGCUGUGUGAACAAGCCCCGGUUAGCCAGCUGGAGACUGCGAUACCUGGUGGGAGGAAUCCCAGCUGUCUCAUCCAAGGGUUUCCUAGCUCAGCCUGCAGCUCUCCAUGGGAGAACCCAGCCUAGAUCAGUAGAGCCUGCAGGUGACAACAGGUGCAUGAGUGAGCCUGUAAGAGACCACAAGAACUGUCUCCAAACAACUUGAGGACAUUAAUGAGUCAUUAUUGUUUUAAAUCAUUGAGUGUUGGAGAAUUUUCUUGUAUAACCAAGUGAAUGUACAUCAUUAUUUAAAUCAUAAGUCAGAUGCUUAAUAUCCCAUGUAAUUUUUCUCUAUCCUUCCACAUAGAAGUGAUUCUGCCUGUCAUGUCUUUUUCCUUUAAUUUUUAUUACUAACUUGUUUUUGCAAUUUGUCAUUUCAUAAAUUACUCAUGAUGUUCAAGGAUUUAAAACUUCAAUUAUUUGAAGUAGUGCAAGCUCAAGUCAAUGCCAUUAUUUUUAUUCCUAUACAACUUCUUGCAGGAUUGCAGCUCAGUGGGAUAGUGUUUGCCUAGCAUGCCUGAGGCCCUGGGUUUGAUCCUAAGUACUAAAAGAUUACUGUUUGGCAUUACAUAAAAUUACUUAUAUUAAGUAUACUAAUACUACACUGAAUCAAAACUGUAGGGCUAGGUUUAAAUCCAGCAGAUCUCUGUAAUCCAAAUCUCAAAGAAGACCUUCAUGAAAUUACUGAAGCUAAGCAAAUAUGUUAUCUGGUUCAACAUGAAUUUCUGCCUGAUCUUAUGGGAAGCUCCCGAUCAUGAAUUGUGCCACACUGUUGGUUCCACUUUGAGGCAAAUGACUUGUCUACCCUAUGUAGGUGUCCAUGGGAGUGUGUGGGGUGUGUGUGUCUGUGUGUUAGUGUGUGUGUGUGUGUGUGUGGCUUCUAACCUUUAGCAGAAGAAGGAGCUUUGAGUCAUUAACUCUUAGAUCAAGGGAUUGAUACGUUGGCCCACUGAAGGGCAUCUGGCAUGGCACCUUGAGCUCUUUCUAAAGUUUAUUUGGGAAAAAAAUUAAAUCACACAUUUUCCUUGUCCAGGAACUCACAAACUUAAGAAAGUUAGCCACAUCCACAUAGUCUAGGGAACAAGAAAGAAUAAUCAAUAACAAAGAGAAUAUGUUUGUAUUUAUCUAUCUAUCUAUCUAUCUAUCUAUAUAUAUAUAUAUAUAUAUGAGAGAGAAAUAAGAGGAUGUAUAAUAUAAAACAUAUAUCUGUACAUAUAUGCAUGCAUGUAUAUAAUACAUAUAUACACAUAUAGAUACACAUACAUAAAUAUUGGUAAACAAUAUCUAUAUACACACACAUAUAUUCCAUAUUAUAUACAUAUAAUAAAAUCUGUAAGAUGUACCAAAAUAUAUAUUGUGAUUAUCAAAGAUUUAUGGUAUUAAAGAAAUUUUUGUUUCCUUCAUACUUUUUCAAUUUUCAAAACUUCCUUAGUUGAGCAUAUGUAGAUGCAAUAAUUACAAAGAAUAAGAUAACUGAUGGAGAGAAUAAUGUUGAUUAUUUUUUUUAUUUUUGUUCCAUUACAUGUAACAUGAGUAGGUUGGACAAGUAUUUCAGAAAUUUUCCAGAUCGUAGUUUUGGGGAUUUUUGAGUCAAUAUGAAUUCCAUGAUAUAACGUGUCUAAAAAUACCUAGAGGGAUAAGAGUUAGAGGUGAAGAAUAAAUAAGAAGCUUCUCUUUAACCAUCAAGAGGCAGAUCAGGAACAAAGAGUCUCAAGGGUUGCUCCAUUUACAGUAAGAGGAAAACUUUUCAGUUUUUACUGAAAACUACACUUAGUGGUUUUUAUUAUUGUUUGCAAUGGGGUUUUUCCACUCUAGUUAAAAACACCUAAAAUGAGAAGAGCCUGCAUGAUUACUUCCUGGUCAACUUGAAAGGACAAGUGGAAAUUUUCACAAGACACCACUCUGCAGCGGAGAGGAAACCAGGAGGUAAAUGGGUGGAGAACAACCAGAGUUGAGGUGUCCAUGAUCCAAAGUCUUAGAAUCAAAUGGAAAACCCCAUGCACAGAGAUGGCUUCAGAAAGACAUAUCUACCUUGUCUCCCAGAAUUUAAUCCUAUCUAGAAGCUUCAGACCAUAUGUUUCUUAUAAAUCUGAGAGGCAAACACUGAAUUAUUUAUUUAGCCACCCCACUUGGAUGUCUUAUGAGACAGCUAAAGCUUAAUAUGGCCAAAACAGAGCCCUUAGUUUCCCCCUUUAUGCCUGGCUCUCCUCCGCCUUUUCCAUCUCUGCAAAUGGCACUACCAUCGACCUAGUUACCACAGCCAGAAGCCUGAGAGUCAUUCUUGACUUCUUCUUUUCCCUCAUAUUCCACAUCCAAUUCAUCAGCAGAUCCUGUCAAUUCUCUCUCCAACAUGUACCUCAUGCCCAUCUAUUUUUUCUUUAUUUUGAGAACCCCUGUUCUAUCUAAAUCAUGACCAUGUUUACCUGGACUUCUGGAAUACUCUCCAGACUGUUUCUUUCAUUUCCUACAAUAGCUCCUACUGUUUUUUUCCAGAGUGCUGCCACAGGGAGUUUUAAAAAAUUCAAAUGAAGUUUAUGUUGCUUCUCCAUUUACACUCACUGUUGUUAUAAUGUUAUAGCUUGGACAAAUGUUCUCCAAAGGCUCAUGUAGUAAAGGCUUGUCCCCAGUGCAUGGUGCUACUGGGAGCUGGUAGAACCUUUAGGAAGUGGGACCUAGGGGGGAGGUCUUUUGAUUGGUAGGUCAAUGCCCUUAGAGGAGAUAUCAUGACCUGAACCUUUUCUUCUUCCUUUUUAUGUUUCCUGGUCACAUGGGGUGAGGGGCUUGCUUUCCCAAAUUACUCUCAUGAUGCACUGCCUCCUACAGUCUCAAAAACGAGACAGCCCAUUGAACAUGGCUCAAAACUGUGAGCCCCCCAUGCUCCUUUGUCCUCAUAAAUUGAUGAUCUCAGGUGUUUGUUAUAGUAAUGGGAAGCUAACUAGCACAUAGAUUUCAAACCAUGCUUCUACCAUGGAUCACAUAUGCUUACAUACUCUGACUUAUUCUCCUCCUCAUCUCCAGCUACCAUUUUGUUUUAAUUCCUAGGAUGUCCAAUUUCUUUGUAAGUCUCAAAACAUACUCACUUGGCCACAAGGACUUUCUCUACUCUUUCUUUACCUGGAAUGUUUUUCCAUGGAUCCACUCUCUUCUAUCAGUCUACUGAUUAAGUUUCACUCCAUCAGUAUGACCUGUCUAUCAUCUGCCUACUGGAAACUGGACCUUACUGUCAUUCUGUAUCAUAAUACCCUGUGUUACUUGAGCUCUGUGUCAGUUAUUAUAUAUUAAUUUAUCAUGAAGAGCCUGUUUCCUUCACUUGAGAAUAAGCUGUCAGAAGACAAGAAUUUUGUCUUCUUUGUGGGAUAUACAGUCUCUCUACAAAUACCUGGCUUAUGGUAAUUAUUUGAUAAGUCUUUGUUCAAGACACAAAUAAAUAUGUGUGGGCUUGGGCCUCAACAUAUAAGACAUAUAAAUAUAUUAUUGACCAUGACAGGAGGAGAAUAUAUUCAGAAAUGACUACUUUGAAAAUCAUUCUCAAUUGUAUAUGUUCUCUAAAUUUUUGGAGAGUUUAGCUGACAAUAAAACAUUUAAAGAGGCUAUUAUCAGUUCUCUACCAUAUAGCAUCUGCUGAUUGAAAUAGAUUAUAGAUCAAUUGUGACAGGCAAAUCCUGCUGAUAUUACAGCAAUAAGAUGUGGGCCUUUAAGAGGUGGAUAGACCAUGAGAGGUUGACCUCAGGGGUGGGAGUAGUGAUUUUAUAAAAUGAUGAGUUGAUCUGCUUUCUCUCUCUUUCACACUCUCACAUCCUCCAUGUGAUCAUAUGGCAUGAAGUCUUCUCCAGUUGCUGGUGCAUUGAUUGGACUUUCUAGCCUCUAGGACUGUGAGCCAAUAAAUUUCUGUGCAUUGUUAGUUACCCAGUCUCAGGUAUUCUGUUACAACAGCACAAAAUGAACAAGAUAAUACUUAGAAUUUAAAUUUAAAAAAUAUAAUUAAAUAUAGUAUUUAUUUGUGUAUCUCUAGUAGUAAUUUUUCUUUUAACCCAUAGUGUAAUAGAAAAAUAUGUUUUAAAAGUCAAAUACUUGGGUUCAAAUCCCAGCUCUUUCAAAUCCAAGUUGGGGAGAUUGGAAUAAAUUUUACUUCUUUCUUGUAUUCUUAGGGUUUUUUUCUUACCUAGCAUUGAGCAACUCAUUGCCUGCUAUCCUUCUUUUCUUAAAUCCCACCACACCUACUGGGAAAAAAUAAAAUAUUCAAAAAUAACAAGGGGAUUCAUCAAAACUUUAAUGUGUAAAAGCAACAAUUUAAUAUUAAAAUUCUACAUAGUCAUUGUGGCUAUUUACAAGAGGAGCUUAUUAAAGUGGUUAACAUGAGUGGGGUUGCACUUGUCAUAUUUAAUGACAAGGGGGAUAGUUUUCACAAAUAAAUGCAGAAUAGACAUGAGAAUUACUCUGUGGCUCAUUUUUGAUUGACUAUUUCUCUCUGCUGGAUAUUUAUGAUGCAAACAAGCCUGACUCCUAAUACAUUCACAUGUCACUGAAAUACAGGAAUGUGUACUGAGAAAUGUGUUGUUAACAAACAUCAUAUAGCGUACUCAAAGAUGGCUUUGAGAUCCUUAGGUGAUAUAUGGUCCUAUAUAUCCCACUGUUGACUGAAAUGUAAAAUGUGGUUCAUGACUACUUAGCCAAUUGGUUAGCAUCCGUAAAGCUCCAAUGUGUUUUCUGAAGGUCUUGUCUUAAUUUGAGCCUGGUGAAUGAUCUUAACCUCAUUUUGUAGAUUCUACACAAAGCAUCAGCUGGGUUUCUAAAUACUCAUUGCUAAAUUCCCUUCCCGUUUGAUGUUUGCAUUUUUUAAAAAGAAUUCAACUUUUAUUUUGUUCAUUUGUUUUUACGUGGUGCUGAGGAUUGAACCUUGCACCUUAACCUGUGCUAGGCAAGUGCUUUACCACUGAGCUGCAGCCUCAGCCUCUGAUGUUUGAAUUUUAUCUGGGAUAAUCCAUUUCUGAACCUAUGCUGUGAGUGCUCUUUAUCAAUGAUGUGGUCUGUAAGGACAGAAGAAACUUUCUAAUUCUAUCUCAUGUAGCUUCAGCCCCCACCCCCCUGAAACAGAAUUAUAUUACAGCAGUAUUUCCCUGGACCCACAAGGUGUAGGUGAUUUUCCCCUGAAAGUUAUUAUUCCCAUGCUUGUAAAUAAGUACUCCUUCUAACGCAUAGUCAAACAAGGCUGCUUUUUUGUUAUUACUCAUCCUUUUCUCAAUUCUCACAGUAAACUGGUGUCUGAAUCUCAACCUAAUUGCCAAAAUCUUGGCCCCAUUAGUAUUUUCUGUCUGGUAAGUCCCAUUCAUCAGAGUCAACUGAAUUUCAAAGUCCUUCUAAAUGAUCUCUGGAAGGAAACAGCUCCUGGCAAUUAAAAAAAACAAUAAUUUAUAAUCAUCGUAUAUUGACUAAGGUUGGUCAUAAUAUUUAUAAAUAACCAUAGAAACACAUGACUAACAGGAUCUACACAGUUGCUUCCAAACCUCCUUCCAGCACCAACAGAAUCACAUAACACUAACAAUCUGAAAUGCCAGGUGAUGGAAAUAUUGCUUACAUAAAGAUAAACCUGCGGCACUGAUUUCUUCAUGGGUUACUUCACAGGCAGUGCAGCCUGUUUUGAAUUUCAGGGUUCUGUAUCCUUACAGCCUCCAGAUGACUGCGGAUUGAUGAAACCAUAGUUCAACCAUGCCUGCUUAGUUCAGAAAAGAGAUUUCAGAAAUGAGAAAUAUUUAACAUAGAAUUAUUUUGUGAUCCAUCCUAGAAGAUAAUUGAGGCAAGCUUUACAACUAAAAUAGUAGUCUUUCAUUCAAGGUCAAAAGGAAUGCAGUCAAUUCUCACAUAAAGAAUAAACAAAGACUGAAUGCUACCAGAGUGCUGUGGAGGCAAGUAUGGGUGUGUGUGUGUGGGGGGUGAGGGCAGGUGCUAUUUCUGCCUAAUUAAACUUGACCUAUGAAAUCAUGUUGGGAAGUGCUUUGUUCCUACAUCAUUUACCCAAGGAUGACUUCAGGAGGAAGGAAAUAAGAAUUGACUGGCUCUGGACUGUAAUAAGUGCAAACUGACUUUCUAUGAUCAGAAACAUUAACCCUCUUGCCUGUUUGGAUGCCCUAACGAGAUGUCCCUUGUUCCAAUCUUCACAUAUAUACUCAAUGUAUUUAUCUCAAGGUUUUUAUAUUCUGGCUUCUAAGUUAGGUAUUGAGGAUAUGACAAUGAACACAAAAGAUGAGCAUGACUUCAAAAUGAAGAUGGUGUCUAUAAGUUAAAUAAUUGGCCUAGUGACAAAAAAACACUGUAAGCUUUAGUUAGUAAAAUGUUAAGAAUCAUUGAAAAAUAAUAUACUUAUGAAUAAAAUGGCCAUAUUAGAAUUCUUUGUUAUUUUAUCAUUUUGGUCUUUUACUAUAAGGUAGUUAAUCCUACUCGAGUUUUAUAGCAUCAUAUAGCCUUGGACACAUCCUGUGUGUUUCAUAGUCAUAGUCAAUCAAGAUUAAGACAAUAUAGAUAUAUAGAUGUCUAGAGACAGAAAUAUUUAUCAAGGCUAGAAGUUUUGAAUUUCAGGGUUCUGUAUCCUUUUAGACUUCUAAUAUGAUACUGGAAGGUGCUGAAUAAACAGUAAAUAAAGUGGAUCUUUAAAGAUGACUUCUCUGACUCUGUUUUUUAAUUUUUCACUUUUAACAUGUAAGUUGAAGGCUAAGUGUUACUCUUCCUAUUUUAGGAUUCUUUAAAGACAAAGGAGAUAGAUACCAUGACCCCCUUCCUCCACCAUGAGUGUA